Molecule: ribosomal RNA, 253 nt
Filed under: uncultured bacterium
Lineage: Bacteria
Description: partial 16S ribosomal RNA
Rfam family: Bacterial small subunit ribosomal RNA
Source: RNAcentral
GACAGAGGGUGCAAACGUUGCUCGGAAUCACUGGGCGUAAAGCGUGCGUAGGUGGAUAGUUAAGUGCAACAUUAAAUCCCGUGGCUCAACCAUGUGGCUGUGUUGCAUACUGGCUGUCUAGAGGACAUGAGAGGCAAGUGGAAUUACUGGUGUAGCAGUGAAAUGCGUAGAUAUCAGUAGGAACACCAAUGGCGAAGGCAGCUUGCUGGCAUGUAUCUGACGCUAAGGCACGAAAGCGUGGGGAGCGAACAGG